RNAcentral lists this unclassified non-coding RNA (377 nucleotides) under plant metagenome. RNAcentral's name for it is "partial contains 5.8S ribosomal RNA, internal transcribed spacer 2, and large subunit ribosomal RNA". The stretch from base 1 to 104 matches the Rfam family "5.8S ribosomal RNA", at positions 51 to 154 of the family's 154-position model. The record is from RNAcentral.
AAAUGCGAUAAGUAAUGUGAAUUGCAGAAUUCAGUGAAUCAUCGAAUCUUUGAACGCACAUUGCGCUCCUUGGUAUUCCUUGGAGCAUGCCUGUUUGAGUAUCAUGAAAUCUUCAAAGUAAAUCUUUUGUUAACUCAAUUGGUUUCUACUUUGGUAUUGGAGGUCUUUGCAGCUUCACACCUGCUCCUCUUUGUUCAUUAGCUGGAUCUCAGUGUUAUGCUUGGUUCCACUCGGCGUGAUAAGUUAUCUAUCGCUGAGGACACUGUAAAAGGUGGCCAAGGUAAAUGCAGAUGAACCGCUUCUAAUAGUCCAUUGACUUGGACAAUACUUUUAUGAUCUGAUCUCACAUCAGGUAGGACUACCCGCUGAACUUAAGC